AGGGUGUAAACGCUGCGGACUUGGUGUUGGAGGCCCUUUGGGGGCAUUCAGUGCCGGAGAGAAGUUGUUAAGUCUGCUACUUGGGAGUACGUCCGCAAGGAUGAAACUUAAAGGAAUUGGCGGGGGAGGCACCGCAACGGGAGGAGCGUGCGGUUUAAUUGGAUUCAACACCGUAAAACUCACCAGGGAAGACUGUUACAUGAAGGCCGAGAUGAAGACUCUGCUAGAUUUUCAGAGAGGAGGUGCAUGGCGUCAGUGACU
This 261-nucleotide ribosomal RNA is filed under the name uncultured archaeon. RNAcentral describes it as "partial 16S ribosomal RNA". It matches the Rfam family "Archaeal small subunit ribosomal RNA", at positions 748 to 1008 of the family's 1478-position model. The record is from RNAcentral.